Molecule: unclassified non-coding RNA, 207 nt
Filed under: plant metagenome
Description: partial contains small subunit ribosomal RNA, internal transcribed spacer 1, and 5.8S ribosomal RNA
Source: RNAcentral
UUUCCGUAGGUGAACCUGCGGAAGGAUCAUUCAUAAUAAGUGUUUUAUGGCACUUUUUUAAAUCCAUAUCCACCUUGUGUGCAAUGUCAGGGUUGGUCUCUUUUGAUCAGCCCCAAACAUCAACUAUUAUCUCAACUCUUUGUCUGAAAAGUAUUAUGAAUAAAACAAUUCAAAAUACAACUUUCAACAACGGAUCUCUUGGCUCUC